CCACCAGCAGGCUUUGCCAAAAUCCAUGUCGAUGCGGGAGUUGCACGGCAUAAUAGGGGAGGAACAGCGACGGCAAUCUGCAGGGAUGACAGUGGCAAUUACCUGGGCAGCUCAGCUUUGGUAAUCCCAGGAGUGUGUGAUGUGGCAACUUUGGAAGCUCUCGCUUGCCGGGAAGCACUCACGCUCGCUGAAGAUCUGCAUAUUCAUCAGUUUAUCAUAGCUUCAGAUUCAAGAGAAGUGAUCAACGACAUAAACAAAAGCUACAGAGGGAAGAAUGGUGCAAUCAUCUCAGAGAUUAACCUCCGAGCUUCUGGUUUUAAUUGUUCUUUUACUUUCAAAGGACGGCAGCCGAACGGCGAUGCCCAUAGAAUAGCUAGAUCAUCACUUUCUUUACAGCAGGGGCGCCAUCUUUGGCUUGUUUAUCCCCAUGCAAAUUGUAUUCCACAAACUGUGGCUUUUGAUCAAUAA
RNAcentral lists this ribosomal RNA (468 nucleotides) under Triticum aestivum (bread wheat). Its description in RNAcentral is "partial small subunit ribosomal RNA". The record is from RNAcentral. Lineage: Eukaryota; Viridiplantae; Streptophyta; Magnoliopsida; Poales; Poaceae.